This 105-nucleotide non-coding RNA is filed under the name Achromobacter piechaudii HLE. RNAcentral's name for it is "partial 23S ribosomal RNA". It matches the Rfam family "Bacterial large subunit ribosomal RNA", at positions 1 to 104 of the family's 2925-position model. The record is from RNAcentral. Lineage: Bacteria; Pseudomonadati; Pseudomonadota; Betaproteobacteria; Burkholderiales; Alcaligenaceae.
GAUCAAGCGACUAAGUGCACAUGGUGGAUGCCUUGGCGAUCACAGGCGAUGAAGGACGUAGUAGCCUGCGAAAAGCUACGGGGAGCUGGCAAACAAGCUUUGAUC